This 576-nucleotide ribosomal RNA is filed under the name Aspergillus fruticulosus. Its description in RNAcentral is "eukaryotic LSU rRNA". It matches the Rfam family "Eukaryotic large subunit ribosomal RNA", at positions 58 to 648 of the family's 3401-position model. The record is from RNAcentral. Lineage: Eukaryota; Fungi; Ascomycota; Eurotiomycetes; Eurotiales; Aspergillaceae.
AAAGAAACCAACCGGGAUUGCCUCAGUAACGGCGAGUGAAGCGGCAAGAGCUCAAAUUUGAAAGCUGGCCCCUCCGGGGUCCGCGUUGUAAUUUGCAGAGGAUGCUUCGGGUGCGGCCCCUGUCUAAGUGCCCUGGAACGGGCCGUCAGAGAGGGUGAGAAUCCCGUCUUGGGCAGGGUGCCCGUGCCCGUGUGAAGCUCCUUCGACGAGUCGAGUUGUUUGGGAAUGCAGCUCUAAAUGGGUGGUAAAUUUCAUCUAAAGCUAAAUACCGGCCGGAGACCGAUAGCGCACAAGUAGAGUGAUCGAAAGAUGAAAAGCACUUUGAAAAGAGAGUUAAACAGCACGUGAAAUUGUUGAAAGGGAAGCGCUUGCGACCAGACUCGGCCCCGGGGUUCAGCCAGCACUCGUGCUGGUGUACUUCCCCGGGGGCGGGCCAGCGUCGGUUUGGGCGGCCGGUCAAAGGCCCCAGGAAUGUAUCGCCCUCCGGGGUUGUCUUAUAGCCUGGGGUGCAAUGCGGCCAGCCCGGACCGAGGAACGCGCUUCGGCACGGACGCUGGCGUAAUGGUCGCAAACGAC